UCCGUUGGUCAAGGGGUUAAGACACCGCCUUUUCACGGCGGUAACACGGGUUCGAAUCCCGUACGGA
Molecule: transfer RNA, 67 nt
Filed under: Streptococcus oralis
Lineage: Bacteria; Bacillati; Bacillota; Bacilli; Lactobacillales; Streptococcaceae
Also listed under: 1 other name
Description: tRNA-Glu
Rfam family: tRNA
About the family: Transfer RNA (tRNA) molecules are approximately 80 nucleotides in length. Their secondary structure includes four short double-helical elements and three loops (D, anti-codon, and T loops).
Source: RNAcentral